This is an RNA transcript of Betta splendens (Siamese fighting fish), 4490 nucleotides long. It is a transcript of the gene named amyloid beta (A4) precursor protein-binding, family B, member 3, with no coding region annotated. The transcript is spliced from 13 exons. The record is from RefSeq and is a predicted model, not a curated record. NCBI's taxonomy places the organism in Eukaryota, Metazoa, Chordata, Actinopteri, Anabantiformes, Osphronemidae.
GACAUCAUUAGGAGGAGGCAAAGAGCAUCCUUCAUCAGUCAGGGAAAAAGAGAAGACGCAGGGACGGAGACAAAAUACAGGACAACAGAAGAGGGAGAAGAAGACAGAAGGUGUCGUCAGGACGACAGAUACAGGAACAAGAGAAAGAGAGGCAGGGGGACAGAGACAGGCAAGAGGAGGCUUAAAAGCUGCCUGUGUGUGUGUGUGUGUGUGUGUGUGUGUGUGUGUGUGUGUGUGUGUGUGUGUGUGUGUGUGUGUGUGUGUGUGUGUGUGUGUGUGUUCUGCUGACUGGGACACACACAUUGGAGGGUGGAGCCAUGAUGGGAAAGGAUUACAUGCUGGCCAUCAUCAUAGUCAACUAUGACGAUAACAUUUGGACAGACCAGAACCUGCUGCUGGACCCAGACCUUCCUUCUGGAUGGAAGACUAUCAAAGACUCCACAGGAACCUACUACUGGCAUGUACCCACCGGUGCCACGCAGUGGCAACACCCCCGCCCCACUGAGACGUUGCAGCCUCAUGACACACAGCAGGUGGAGGUUGGGCAGCAGAGCUCUAACCCACAGAUGGAUGGACUAGCUAAGGGCAGGUCUUCGUGGCCUGAUGAUUAUCUGACCAAUCACGACCCCGACUCCAAGUGUUUUGCUGUGCGAUCUCUGGGCUGGCUGCAGGUGGAGGAGGAGGACCUGUCUCCUGGUCGCAGCAGUCUUGCUGUCAGUAACGUUAUCCAGCAGCUGUCUCACUGCAGUGCCAGCGAGCAGAGGGAGGGGCUGGGGGCCUCGGGGGAGGGUCAGGAGAUGAUGCUGAUUCUAAAGAAAGACACCCUGACCCUCUUGGACCCUUUAGACCACACCCUCCUUCAUUGUCAGCCAAUCAUCAACAUCCGUGUGUGGGGGGUGGGCUGCAACAAUGGCAGGGACUUUGCCUUUGUGGCAGGAGACAAAGACAGCUGUGUGUUGAAGUGUCACGUUUUUCACUGUGAUGCUCCGGCCAAAGCCAUCGCCACAGCUCUGCAUGAGAUGUGCUCCAAGAUAAUGUCAAAGAAGACACUGGUGAUGCCGUCUCGCUCUUUGACGAUGGAGAGCAUUUCUCCAGAAGACCUGCCCAGACAAGUGGAGUUUUUCGAGGCGAUGCGGCAGCAGAACCAGAAAUUUAAAGUCCAGUAUAUUGGUAAUCUGCCGGUUUCCCGAGCCAUGGGCAUGGAGGUGCUGAACAGAGCAAUAGAAAGCAUCAUGAAUUCCACAGACAAAGACGACUGGGAGCCGACUGUGAUCCAGAUCACAGACAACGUCCUGUCGCUUUGGAAGGGAGAGGAGGGAGACCAGCCUUUCUGGGAGUGUCAAGUUCGUUUUCUCACCUUUCUGGGUGUGGGCCAAGACAGCCACACCUUCGCUGUAAUCGUCGAUGGUGGCACGCAGCGGUUUGAGUGCCACGUGUUCUGGUGUGAGCCUGAUGCAGGAAUAAUUUCUGAAGCCGUUCAGGCUGCCUGCAUGUUCCAGUAUCAGAAGUGUCUGGUAGCCCAGACUCCUCCUCCCAGGUCCAAGUCAUGGCGUGCAACCCCGUCCAAGGUAAAAAGAGCCAACUCCAUGGACGGCGCCGCUUUUCCUCCUCUGACAUCCCCACACCACAGCAGUGGCUCCACGGCGAUGACAAAGAGCAGCAGUGUGAGGAAGGGGAUGAUGGCCUUCUUUGAAACCUUUCGCAACAAGCGGGCUGCCACAUCCUAAUUAUAGAGGCAAGACCAUCAGAGCCAUAUACCUGCAGGUGGUCCCGACCGAGACCAGGAGGACCCAGACUGACGCAUGGCUCUGGUGGUCCCAACAGCCAGUUCUGCUCGCUCCACAUCAUGGUAACAUUGACACCACCUAGGCCUGAAUUCAGUGAAGUGGCUGAUGUUUGUAUCACCUGUAGGUGAUUGAGGUCAACAGCACUGGACGUGCUACCGGUACUGUACCACCACCGAUAUUAGUACAAUCAUUGGAGCUACUGCAUAGAUACUGUUACUGCUACAACCACUGGACCUGUGGGGUUCAGCAGAUAACUGCUUCUCCAAGUUUCUGUGAAGCUCACAACAGUCCUAAAGCCUGAGAAAGGAACCGCAUUUUAACUCCUGUGAGAACCUCUGAAGCACCAACAGAAAUCCCUGUAAGACGGUGUCACUGGAGAUGAAAGGGAUCAAACCAAACAUUGGGACUGGGCCGUGUCCAGAGCAGGGUCUGUUCCCACUUGUUUCCGGGGGUCCCUUCAUCCAUGACUCAAGGUAUUUAUCCAGAUGAUUAAUAUUAUAUUACACAGCUUUAAAACAAUAUAUAUAUAUAUAUAUAUAUAUAUAUAAUCAUGAAGAUGUGAUGAUUUGAUGGAGCAAAUAAUCAUAAAAAUAUAGAUAUUGAAGAAACCUCCCCAAUGUUCAUUGUAAUGUGACGAUCAGAAGGAUUUUCCUUUAACUUUGCUUGGAAAGCAACACAUAGGUGUCAGAUAGAGAAGAAAAGUCUUUUAAUUGUGCUGAUUGGGUCUGUUUGAUUUCUAGACCAAAUUAAAAGCCAGUAAAAUGAGAAAACGACUAUUUCUUGUUUUCUGUCUUACUCUCAAAAUGAACAAAAUGCGAAAACAGUUUAAAAUCCAAUUCUCUAGUUUUGAAAAAAACAAAUUUCAACUGGUUUAUUGGUUUUUAACAUGGUACAUUAAGUAUAUUCCAUUCUUCACUCAUAACAAGAGAAAUGAGAAAACCGUUGUGUUUUGUAUUUUAUCUUGAGGACAAAUUAAACAGAAGACAACUUUAUUGCAGUUGAUGCCUUGACGAAAGGAGAAUAUAAAUCCAUUACUUAAUUUGCAUGUGAACACUGUCUUCCUGCCGCCGUGUGUGUGUGUGUGUGUGUGUGUGUGUGUGUGUGUGUGUGUGUGUGUGUGUGUGUGUGUGUGUGUGUGUGAGAUGUUAAGGUGUGAGAACACUUUGAAACAACAACAACAGGUCAGGGGCCCGUUUCAAGAAGGAGGUUUUGUGGAAACUCUGAGUUUGUUAACCCGAAAUGAGGAAAACUCAGAGUUUUCGGUUUCAGAAAGCGGGGUUACUUAAACCCGUAAAGCGGGGUAAGUUUAAACCCGUUUCAAGAAGCGAGGUAAUCGAAACUCUGAGUCAGUUUCUAUGGAAACUUACUCUGUGAACCAAACCUGGUCGCGAGCAGGUUUUAUUCGGGAAACCCAGAGUUUCCUUCGGUCUCCGCCCCUUUUUAAAGUGAACAGUGUUUAAAUACCUCAUUUAAUCUAUCAGUUCAUUCAUAGAUUUCACCUGUUUCCUUCGCGCAGAGACCAAAAUGUCCGUUUCUAGAGGAUCCUGUAGAUGAGGACGCUGUAUUAAUUCACACGUCAUUGAAUUUACGCCGCGAGAGGAUUUUAACGCCACGAGUUAAUUUUCUGUCAUAACGCCGUGCAUAUUUAUUUGAGCGGUACCGUUUUUCUCGAGACUCCAUACAUAUAUUAAUAAUCUUAUUCACCCAUACGUCAAACACAUCAGCCACCGUGGCCGUGCUUUUACAUCCGAACAGAUUCUUUGUGUUGCGUUACGUUUUUUUGCAAACGGUAGUUUUCUUUAUAACAUUGGAGAUGCUGAGCACAUUAGUGAAGCCACUGUGUGUAGAAAAGUUCGACCUCAAGCGCUUUCCUUGACACAAACUCCUUAAAGCCAUUAAAGAGGAGUUUCACAGGACUGCAGGUAUGUGGUAAGUAAUUUGUUUCAUUGAGGCUAAUCUGAAAAAUGAUGAUCAGUUAAUAAUAUUUUGCUGUGAUCUGAAAUAAACUGAUAAAUGUGCAGGUUCACUGACUACUCUUUCUAAUGGUCACUGUAACUGAUGUAUCAUUGUUUACAUCACCAAGAUCAUGUGUGAUGCUGCACAUAUCAUAAACGUGAACUCAUGAAUAUAUCGUGAUUCAACCCUAAAUAACAGGCUGCACUGUGGUAGUAAGUACAUGUAUGUCCUAUACACUUAUUUCAAUGCAUGCACUCACACUCACAGGAACACUUCUAUGCAGCACGAAAGUAAUGUGAACUUUCUUCUAGGAGAGAUUGACAGCUUUCUGCUGGAGAUAGGGGUCACCCAUGCCAGCCCACACUACUGACCCCUCACCCAGAACCUGAAGCAGGCCCCCAGCAGCGCUUUGUCACUGCAGAACAAGAGCCCUGGUGGAAAUGACCAUAGGCCUGUUGAAAGCACGUCUUCAGUGCCUACGUCAACUCAGGGAAACACCUGAGAGGCCUGUGACAUUAUUGGGACAUGUGUUGUUCUCCACAUUAUUGCAAUUAUUAGAGAGGAGCAACACCCUGCCCUAUAAAUACAAGACCCUGAGGAAGACUCCUUCCAUCAUGAAUUGAACUCUGGCAUUUACUGAACAUCACUGAACUGUGUGCAUCUGUGCAGCAGAAUGUGACGGACCUCCUCCUGCUGUUCUUCCACACUCUGGGGCAGAGGGGAGAUAAUAAAGUCACUAUACUUGGA